AAGCGGUGGAUGAUGUGGUUUAAUUCGAUGCAACGACGAAAACCUUACCCACCUUUGACAUGGCAGGAAUCCCGAAGAGAUUGGGAGUGCUCGAAAGAGAACCUGCACACAGGUGCUGCAUGGCUGUCGUCAGCUCGUGUCGUGAGAUGUUGGGUUAAGUCCCGCAACGAGCGCAACCCUUGCCAUUAGUUGCUACGAAAGGGCACUCUAAUGGGACUGCCGGUGACAAACCGGAGGAAGGUGGGGAUGACGUCAAGUCCUCAUGGCCCUUAUAGGUGGGGCUACACACGUCAUACAAUGGCCGGUACAGAGGGUAGCCAACCCGCGAGGGGGAGCCAAUCCCACAAAGCCGGUCGUAGUCCGGAUCGCAGUCUGCAACUCGACUGCGUGAAGUCGGAAUCGCUAGUAAUCGCGGAUCAGCAUGUCACGGUGAAUACGUUCCCGGGUCUU
This 450-nucleotide ribosomal RNA is filed under the name uncultured Allobrachymonas sp. RNAcentral's name for it is "bacterial SSU rRNA". It matches the Rfam family "Bacterial small subunit ribosomal RNA", at positions 927 to 1382 of the family's 1533-position model. Lineage: Bacteria; Pseudomonadati; Pseudomonadota; Betaproteobacteria; Burkholderiales; Comamonadaceae. The record is from RNAcentral.